This 377-nucleotide ribosomal RNA is filed under the name uncultured bacterium. RNAcentral describes it as "bacterial SSU rRNA". It matches the Rfam family "Bacterial small subunit ribosomal RNA", at positions 521 to 896 of the family's 1533-position model. The record is from RNAcentral.
UAAUACGUAGGAGGCGAGCGUUAUCCGGAUUUAUUGGGCGUAAAGAGGGCGCAGGCGGUUCUUCAAGUCGGAUGUAAAAUCUCCCGGCUCAACUGGGAGGAGCCAUCCGAUACUGGUGGCUAGAGAGCAGCAGAGGGAGGUGGAAUUCCCGGUGUAGUGGUGAUAUGCGUAGAUAUCGGGAGGAACACCCGUGGCGAAGGCGGCCUCCUGGGCUGUUUCUGACGCUGAGGCCCAAAAGCGUGGGGAGCAAACAGGAUUAGAUACCCUGGUAGUCCACGCCGUAAACGAUGUUCACUAGGUGUCGCGGGUAUUUAACUCCUGCGGUGCCGUAGCUAACGCGAUAAGUGAACCGCCUGGGGAGUACGGCCGCAAGGUUA